This 1576-nucleotide long non-coding RNA is filed under the name Portunus trituberculatus (swimming crab). RNAcentral describes it as "uncharacterized LOC123503535, transcript variant X1". Lineage: Eukaryota; Metazoa; Arthropoda; Malacostraca; Decapoda; Portunidae. The record is from RNAcentral.
AAUAACCAAAAUCUCAAAAAAACAAUAAAAACAAGAUAAAUAGAAAACACGAAAAACUGAAAAAAACACCAAAAACACAAAAACUAAAAUCUUUCAAAAAAACACCAAAAAAACACCAUUAGAGCCAUGCCACGUGUUUGGGCGUUCUUGGUGUGUGUGUGGGCGGCGUGCGAGGCGUGGGCGCACACCAGCCACGCCCAUAGAACAAGCCCUGCCUUCUGGGGUCCAAACACCAUUGAAAACCCAUUAUUUAAGACCAUUAGAGAGGUUUUUAAUGGGUUCCAAGAGGACGCGCACCCAUAUACGCCCCUUCAGAGCGCCCACGCCCCCACACGCCCACCCCACCACCUCGUUGAUCUCUAUAUGCGCGUCAGUAGAGGAGAGAGUGAGCGGUUACAUGGAAGUGAUACGGUUGUGUGUCUCUACCCUGUUUCAAAAGAUUUAAAUGCCACCCACAUCUUUGACAUAACAAGAUUAACACUAACAAGAAUGGGCGUGGCUGGUGCGGGCGUGUCUAUGGGCGCGUCAAGAGAGCUGGUCCACGCCUCUCUCCUCCUGCCGCCCACACGCCUCUCCCACGCCCAUCUGUUCUUCCCUGCCCACUCACCAAGGAAGAUUGUCACGAGAACAUUUCUGGCUGGAGUUAAAGUUAGCGACAUCACAAGAGAGGUGCGGGCGGCCAUCACUAGAGGCAUGAGGAAAAAGGACGCGCACAUAGAAAUUGGUAUAAGAUUGACGGAGAAGAGAGAGAGAGCGGGGAAGAGGAGGGUUGGGAGGGGGAGUGGAGGGAGACACGACCCCCAACAUCCUUCUCUACUUCAAAAACACGGUCCUAACUGCUGGUGUGGGUGUGUCCAAUGACCUUGCUGCAUUGUUUGAGAUGGAGAAGAAGAAGAGAGGAGGAGGAGGAGGAGGAGGAGGAGGAAGAAGAGGAAGAGGGAGGAGGAAGAAGAGGAGGAAGGAAGAAGAAGAAGAAGAAGAAGAAGAAGAAGAAGAAGACUUGAUUCCCUUCCCUAAAUAUCACUCGCAUAGAAAAUGGGGAGAGGACAAGGAGGAGGAGAGGAGGAGGAGGAGGAGGAGGAGGAAGAGGAGGAGGAGGAGGAGGAGGAGGAGAGAUAAACAGACAGACAUGAAAUGGAGAAAAUUUCCGCCAUAUUGGAUUGACUUGGAGACCAACACCAACAACGAGGCUAGACCACCACCACCACCACCACCACCGGGCCCCACCACGUGCGCAAGAACCCCCUCAAGAGUGUAUCUGGAUCAGCUAGGCUCAAAUUACGUCUUUAUGCCAAAAUACGUGAAUUUCUACAGGUGUGGCGGGGCGUGUGGUGGUGUGGAGGCUGAGCCGGCCUGGAAUAUUUCACAUAGACACGCGCCCCGUCCUCUCAGCCGCCCCCUCUGCCCCCCACGGCCCCCCACACAGCUGUAUACCCGAUCAAGUGAAGAAUUUAGCGAUAAUUUUAAAAACAUCAACUUGUUUUGUUUUAAGAGUGUUUCAAAAUGUUAUUGUCGAAACGUGCAGGUGUGUGUGAGAGAGAGAGAGAGAGAGAGAGAGAGAGAGAGAGAGAGAGAG